CCGGCGACCGGCGCACGGGUGAGUAACACGUAUGCAACCUGCCCUCUUCAGGGGGACAACCUUCCGAAAGGGAGGCUAAUCCCGCGUAUAUCGGUUUCGGGCAUCCGAGAUCGAGGAAAGAUUCAUCGGAAGAGGAUGGGCAUGCGGCGCAUUAGCUAGACGGCGGGGUAACGGCCCACCGUGGCGACGAUGCGCAGGGGUUCUGAGAGGAAGGUCCCCCACACUGGUACUGAGACACGGACCAGACUCCUACGGAAGGCAGCAG
RNAcentral lists this ribosomal RNA (265 nucleotides) under uncultured bacterium. RNAcentral describes it as "partial 16S ribosomal RNA". It matches the Rfam family "Bacterial small subunit ribosomal RNA", at positions 88 to 354 of the family's 1533-position model. The record is from RNAcentral.